GAUGAACGCUGGCGGCGUGCCUAAUACAUGCAAGUCGAGCGAACAGACGAGGAGCUUGCUCCUCUGAUGUUAGCGGCGGACGGGUGAGUAACACGUGGAUAACCUACCUAUAAGACUGGGAUAACUUCGGGAAACCGGAGCUAAUACCGGAUAACAUGUUGAACCGCAUGGUUCAACAGUGAAAGACGGUCUUGCUGUCACUUAUAGGUGGAUCCGCGCCGCAUUAGCUAGUUGGUAAGGUAACGGCUUACCAAGGCAACGAUGCGUAGCCGACCUGAGAGGGUGAUCGGCCACACUGGAACUGAGACACGGUCCAGACUCCUACGGGAGGCAGCAGUAGGGAAUCUUCCGCAAUGGGCGAAAGCCUGACGGAGCAACGCCGCGUGAGUGAAGAAGGUCUUCGGAUCGUAAAACUCUGUUAUUAGGGAAGAACAAAUGUGUAAGUAACUAUGCACGUCUUGACGGUACCUAAUCAGAAAGCCACGGCUAACUACGUG
RNAcentral lists this ribosomal RNA (497 nucleotides) under uncultured bacterium. Its description in RNAcentral is "partial 16S ribosomal RNA". It matches the Rfam family "Bacterial small subunit ribosomal RNA", at positions 28 to 507 of the family's 1533-position model. The record is from RNAcentral.